AACGGAAAGGCCCUGCUUGCAGGGUACUCGAGUGGCGAACGGGUGAGUAACACGUGGGUGAUCUGCCCUGCACUUCGGGAUAAGCCUGGGAAACUGGGUCUAAUACCGGAUAGGAGCCAUCUUUAGUGUGAUGGUUGGAAAGUUUUUUCGGUGUAGGAUGAGCUCGCGGCCUAUCAGCUUGUUGGUGGGGUAAUGGCCUACCAAGGCGGCGACGGGUAGCCGGCCUGAGAGGGUGGACGGCCACAUUGGGACUGAGAUACGGCCCAGACUCCUACGGGAGGCAGCAGUGGGGAAUAUUGCACAAUGGGCGCAAGCCUGAUGCAGCGACGCCGCGUGGGAGAUGACGGCCUUCGGGUUGUAAACUCCUUUCGCUAGGGACGAAGCUUUUUGUGACGGUACCUAGAUAAGAAGCACCGGCUAACUACGUGCCAGCAGCCGCGGUAAUACGUAGGGUGCGAGCGUUGUCCGGAAUUACUGGGCGUAAAGGGCUCGUAGGUGGUUUGUCGCGUCGUCUGUGAAAUUCCGGGGCUUAACUCCGGGCGUGCAGGCGAUACGGGCAUAACUUGAGUACUGUAGGGGUAACUGGAAUUCCUGGUGUAGCGGUGAAAUGCGCAGAUAUCAGGAGGAACACCGAUGGCGAAGGCAGGUUACUGGGCAGUUACUGACGCUGAGGAGCGAAAGCAUGGGUAGCGAACAGGAUUAGAUACCCUGGU
This 713-nucleotide ribosomal RNA is filed under the name uncultured Corynebacterium sp. Its description in RNAcentral is "bacterial SSU rRNA". It matches the Rfam family "Bacterial small subunit ribosomal RNA", at positions 65 to 791 of the family's 1533-position model. The record is from RNAcentral. Lineage: Bacteria; Bacillati; Actinomycetota; Actinomycetes; Mycobacteriales; Corynebacteriaceae.